UUGAACGCUGGCGGCAUGCUUUACACCUGCAAGUCGGACGGCAGCACAGAGAAGCUUGCUUCUUGGGUGGCGAGUGGCGAACGGGUGAGUAAUAUAUCGGAACGUACCGAGUAAUGGGGGAUAACUAAUCGAAAGAUUAGCUAACACCGCAUAUUCUCUGAGGAGGAAAGCAGGGGACCUUCGGGCCUUGCGUUAUUCGAGCGGCCGAUAUCUGAUUAGCUAGUUGGUGGGGUAAAGGCCUACCAAGGCGACGAUCAGUAGCGGGUCUGAGAGGAUGAUCCGCCACACUGGGACUGAGACACGGCCCAGACUCCUACGGGAGGCAGCAGUGGGGAAUUUUGGACAAUGGGCGCAAGCCUGAUCCAGCCAUGCCGCGUGUCUGAAGAAGGCCUUCGGGUUGUAAAGGACUUUUGUCAGGGAAGAAAAGGCUGUUGCUAAUACCGACAGCUGAUGACGGUACCUGAAGAAUAAGCACCGGCUAACUACGUG
This 489-nucleotide ribosomal RNA is filed under the name uncultured bacterium. Its description in RNAcentral is "partial 16S ribosomal RNA". It matches the Rfam family "Bacterial small subunit ribosomal RNA", at positions 30 to 507 of the family's 1533-position model. The record is from RNAcentral.